This is a long non-coding RNA of Melospiza melodia melodia, 873 nucleotides long. RefSeq lists it as uncharacterized. The record is from RefSeq and is a predicted model, not a curated record. The transcript has 2 exons. NCBI's taxonomy places the organism in Eukaryota, Metazoa, Chordata, Aves, Passeriformes, Passerellidae.
AACAUGUCUGGGCAGGGAGGAGCAGCAACAGGGCAGGGAGGAGGAGUGGAAAAGCUGCAGAAACCUCCAGGGAGCUCAGGAUCCACGCCGUGGCUCCCUGGAGUCCUGCUCUGAUCCCAAAAAUCCCCCUCGCCAGGACUGCGAUCCACCGGGACCGUUCAACCCUCAAGGCUGCAGGAUUUUGGGCCCUGCACCCGUGUCCUGCCCCACUGGGAGCUGCUUGGUUUGCCCAGCUCCAGCCGGGAGCGAUACCCAGGGAAAAGGGGAAUUCACCCCAAAUCCAACCAAACCAGAUGAGAAGGAGGGGAAGGAGACCCCAAACUCACUGAUCAUGAGCAGACAGGUCUCAUCGUUGAACGAGGACCAGUUGUUGUUGACCAGAGCCUGCUUCAGCUCCUUGACGGAGAUGAACCCGCUGUGAUCCGUAUCCACCGUCUGGAACCAGGAAAACGCCUCGGGAUCCACCCCUGGGGGGGCAUUCCCUGCUCGGGGAGAGGCCAUCGGAGCUGUCACCUUCCCCUCGGACAGGCCAGGGGCUGGGCUGGGCUGGCCCCGGAGCUUCUCCUCCCACGGGAAUUACAGCUCGGUAAAUCCCGGGAGAACGGGGCUGGGAUGGGCACGGAACGGCUGGAGCCGGGAAUGGGCUGGGAACCGGAGCCUGGGGUGGAGAGGAGCCACGGUGCUGCCCCACAAAUCCGGCAGAACCGGGAGAUUGGUGUGGGGUGAAAGUUUUAGGGCUGCCUGGCCCUUCCUCUUCCUCCCUUUUCUCUUUUUCCUCCUCCUCUUUCUCCUUUCCCUCCUCCUCUUCCUUCUCCUCCCUCUCCUCCUCCUCCUCCAGGAUUUCAAAAUAAUAAACCGGGACAUCCAAUUUCA